CUGAUCUCACCAAGAGAGCCACACGCCAGUGCCUUGAGCGUUGCUAUGCCCUCUGCCUGGGAUGCUCCUAUCCCACAUUCGAAGCCUAUUUCCAUUCUGUGUUCAGUUUCCAUGGCUCCUCCUGAGACAGGAGGAUGAGUUUUAAAGAUGACGCCUGUGGACCCAGGAGCAUAAGGGUUAUUGCAAUUGUCAUCCAGUCUAUGAGGAGGCGCCUCUGGACCGUAUGUGGCUGUGAUCCCAGGACCUUGGACAGCGCCCGGUGUUCCGGGUGCUCUGUGCUCAGUUAACAGUGUAUUGAGUGUGUCAGAAAUUUACACUCACCCCUGCACCUAUCGGCACAGCCUGACAACAUCUAAGGGAAAUACUAACGGCUCUACAAAAAGAAAUAGACGAUCCAGGUGGGAGACCGGCCCACUUCUUUAGAAACCUUCCAAGCAAAUAUGAAAACAAGAUUUGAAUGAUCUGCAGUACAUCGAAGUGUCUUCACUCCCGAGAGAUAGUAACGCCUUAAAAACCGAGGUUGAAUAAAAUAAAAAUAGUAUUAAAACGCUUCGAGGUUUAACACCGUUAGAAGCAGCACUGAGGUGAAAUACUCACGUCUACCGUCCUUUCCUCGCUUCCUGUGACUGCCCACCCUGAUUCGGCAGCUUCACUGGACUGAGACACGCCUGGGCACAGGGAAAGCGCACUCUGGGUGCGUCUCGGGGGUGCGGAGCCGGCGCUGGGCCCCGGCCCCUCCGUCUCCGGCCGGCCGGCGCUGUCUCUUACACUCCUUCCCGGCCACCACCAGCUGAGCAGCUUUGCCCCUCCUUUGACGCCUUCCAGCACGAUGUCCCUGAAAACCCGAGCCAGUUAAACCCUUCCUUCUGUGAGGUGAGAAAUCUGAACAACUUGUAUGAUGUUCGUGCCAGAGAGCAGCUUGCUGUAAAUCACAGAAAUUCCUUGCUAGUCAGGGUUUUACAACUGGCAAACUACCACAGAACCUCAGCACAGAUUAUGGACAGAGGGAAGAGUGUGAGGCGACGUGGGGCGAGAAAUGUAUAGCAGGUAACCGAUAGUGUGUGAUAAAGACAUCAUUAACGACUGGUCAUCCAGAAACGAACUGCCUGUGUCGGCUGACUGUUUAAUGUUUUCAUGUAAAGAACAGCAGUGUGCUUUCUGCAUCAUUUUCUACAAAGUGAGAGUCUG
RNAcentral lists this long non-coding RNA (1188 nucleotides) under Heterocephalus glaber (naked mole-rat). Its description in RNAcentral is "lncRNA (ENSHGLG00000034756.1)". Lineage: Eukaryota; Metazoa; Chordata; Mammalia; Rodentia; Bathyergidae. The record is from RNAcentral.